UAUCAGAGGUGCCCCACUCCCACCACCCGUAGGAGCUACCUGCUGCAGCCUCAGUGGUCUUUGCAGGAGUAGCUUGUUUUCUGAGCAUCAGAAUCCAAAGCCCCUAUUGCUGCGGCCCCCAGCUGUCUUCUCCUGGGCUGCAGUGGCUGCCUGGGAUUAGUGCUAGACCCCGGGGUGGUUGGAAAGGUGGCAGAAUUGAGGACAGAAUUGAUGGGGUGAGACAGGUGGCCAAAGAGAACCCAGCCACAAGGCAGGGCUGGCAGUGUGGACCCAGAAUGGAGUCCAUACUGGCCAUGUGGGCAAAGGGAGAUCUGAGGAGAGAAAUGAAAUCUUGAAGGCCAGGCAUGGGUGUUCUUUUCUGUGUUGCUCAUAUUCUCUCUCUCUCUCUCUCUCUCUCUCUCUCUCUCUCUCUCUCUCUCUCUCUUUCUCCACCACUAAUCUCCCUUUCUCUCCGUGUUUUGUUGCCUGAGUGUGCUGAUUCCCAUGCCUCUCACGGCUUGUCCCCCUUUAGCCUGGGAUGUUUUCCCCUGAGUCGAAGCUGGGCAGACCCCUUCGGGGCAAACCCAAGGCAAUGUUCAGCCCAUGUAAUCCCAGUCCAGUCCUGCGUGCGCCUGGUGGCGCCCGCUGCUGGUGUGAACAGUAAGUACGUCAGAAGUGUCUAGAGGUGCCAGAAAAGCCAGCCUGCUGACAGAGGGCCUGGUCACAUAGGUUCUCCUUGCUCCAAAGUUUAAAAAAAAAUGACCCUCUCACAGACGUUCAUCUCAGUUCAUUUCAAAGCCUGGAAACCAUCUCUGAGACGCUGACCAUGUCGCCAUUCCAUCAUCGCAGGCCUGGGGGUAUGGUGUCCCAGGGUCCUGGGCUAAGGAGGCAGGCCCAGCUCUCCAAAAACAAGCAGGAACCUUGAGCAGGAAAGAUGAGCAGGUGGGUGGGGACUCUGAGGUCUUGUACCUCUGGUCUUUCUCACGGUUUGGACGGUUGGCCCUCUUUGGUUUUUCUCUCUCUGGCCAUCCGCACUGGAGUUUGGAACAGGAAGGGAAUGGCCUGGUUGCUGAGAGAAUCAUCGACUGCAGAUGAAACAUCAGCCACUUGGCCAUAGACCCUUUCUCAAGGUUGAGGCAGAAAGAAAAAGCAGGUUCCAGGGAUACCCUGGAAACUGCCCAUCACCCUGUCCUCCUAGAUCCCAGAUGGCUGUCCCUUGUCCCUGGACCUCCCAAGAGGGACUGCCCCACUUUCAAACUCUUUCCAGUUUAAGGUGGGAGCCCCAGGGGCAGGGGUCGCGUAGACAGAGACUCGGAGCCAGAGGAGGGGGUGGUCUCAGGCUGUACUGUCUCUGUUGAGGCAGAGACAGGAAAGAGCAGUCACUAUCUGAUCCUUCUCUGGACAAGAAGAGCAGGCUAUGGACAUCUACACAAGAGCAUCUUUGCCAGCUGGAGAAGAUGCACUUGGAAGCCUCCAUUCUUCCCCAUGCAAGGCAUGUGGACCCCAGCUUCCGGCCCCCCCUUCCCCACCAUACCACUUUCUCAUCUCCCCAGCAUCCUCCUCCCAGCCUGCAGACCCUCCAUGAGGGAGACAAGAGCCAAAUGGAACGUAAGGGAGAAUAUGCAGGUCUGUGGGCACAUAGGUGUCCCACAGACACACCCUAUAUGCUAGGCAGCCCCCAGCUUGUCACAUGGUGCCAGAGUUUCCCUAAUAGCUGGCCUUUCUGGUUCCGAGUCAAUCAGGAUCGAAGGCCCUGGGAUCUUCAAGGAAUGCACUGUACGUGAAAUGCCUUGCCGUCUUGUACGACAGACUUUUUUAAGUUCCAAAAUUAUGAUGGGAAAUUUUUUUUUUGGAUUUGCUUUAUGAAUAAACCUGAUUGGUCCAUUUC
This 1867-nucleotide long non-coding RNA is filed under the name Mus musculus (house mouse). RNAcentral's name for it is "long non-coding RNA chr7:46431485-46433352". Lineage: Eukaryota; Metazoa; Chordata; Mammalia; Rodentia; Muridae. The record is from RNAcentral.